GUGUCAGCAGCCGCGGUAAUACGUAGGUGGCAAGCGUUAUCCGGAAUUAUUGGGCGUAAAGGGUGCGUAGGCGGUUUAUUAAGUCUAUGGUGAAAGUGCGGGGCUCAACCCCGUAUGGCCAUAGAAACUGAUAGACUAGAGUGCAGGAGAGGGCAAUGGAAUUCCAUGUGUAGCGGUAAAAUGCGUAGAUAUAUGGAGGAACACCAGUGGCGAAGGCGGUUGCCUGGCCUGUAACUGACGCUGAAGCACGAAAGCGUGGGGAGCAAAUAGGAUUAGAAACCCGCGUAGUCC
Molecule: ribosomal RNA, 291 nt
Filed under: uncultured bacterium
Lineage: Bacteria
Description: partial 16S ribosomal RNA
Rfam family: Bacterial small subunit ribosomal RNA
Source: RNAcentral